UCAUGGUCACUAAAAACCAACCGUCAAUUGCCUAAUAAACCCAAACAAACGUAGGGCUUGAAAUUUAACGCAUGCGCUAUCAAAUUUAAAAUGACUAUGAAUAUUGAAACUUUACAGGUUGAAACAAACGUAGCAUAGACAACGCAUAGACAACAAUAACAAAAAACUGAAAUGGGGCAAAGCUAAAACAAAGCAAGAAAUAGGGCAAAGCUAAAACGAAACAAACGUACCUUUGGUGCCAGAAGGAGGAAACGUCGUAGAUCUAACAGAGGUGGAAGGAGAACGCCUUAGAACCCUAACGUGAAAAAGAACGAAAAUAACAGAGAGUGAAAUAACAAAACGCGCAGUAUGUUAUAAUUUUAAUGUUUACUAAAGGGGACCUUAGAGGGCGCUUGUGGAAAAAAAGCGCCCUCUAAGGUGCGCUGUCUAUUGCUCCUUAUUUUUUCGCUUCACUUUAGACAGCGCUU
This 467-nucleotide long non-coding RNA is filed under the name Lathyrus oleraceus (garden pea). RNAcentral's name for it is "Pisum sativum (pea) long non-coding RNA (PSAT_LNC019749)". The record is from RNAcentral. Lineage: Eukaryota; Viridiplantae; Streptophyta; Magnoliopsida; Fabales; Fabaceae.